AUGCCUGUUAGAACUGUUGUGCCAUUCCCAUGGUAUAUACUCAUUCAUGUCUCCAGCAAGUAUGACAAAGGAAGAAACCAAAGCAGUGGCCACAGGAACACAGAGACUUUUUGUAUUGGUGUUGACAGAGUUAAUAUUGGAGCUCAUCAUAACAAGUCUCUUCAAAGAACACACAGGAGGAUUCCUUCUUUCUUGCAGGCACUAAAGAGAGGAAUGGUUUCCCAUUCAUAUUUAAAUGAUGUUGACAUACCAGCUGACCAAAUGCGGAUAUUGGAAUCAUCAUUCCUCCUGACGGCUUGCGAUGAGGGAAGAAUUAUCACAGAGGACAAGUUAACACGCUGUUUGCAGCAAAUGCAGAUUGAAUGUCCUGGAAAGGUCAUAGUCAAGCAAGUUGGCAGGUCCAAAUACCUUAUAUAUUUCCAAGGGCCAGUAACCACAACUUUGUUUCACACGUUGUCUGCUGAUGCUGCUGGAAUCCAGCUACCUCUUGGUAAGUUCUUAGUUCAGAAAUGGUCGACGUCUGUUGGAGGUGUAUCUUCUACCCUCUCUCGAAAAGAACAGAUAAGGAUUACAGGACUGCCAACUGAAUUUUACAGCCCGUCUAUAAUUGAAGACAUCCUGAGCCCCCAGUGCAUGUUAGAAAACAACAGCCAUCAGGUUGGUGAGUCUCCUGAUGUUUGGUUCUAUGACUGUGCCAUAUGGACAAAUGAAAACAAAAUUAUUUCAGAGGACAUCUAUUUGGGCUGCUCCAAAUGGAUUAACAGUGGAACAAUCAACUGUUAA
RNAcentral lists this ribosomal RNA (783 nucleotides) under Triticum aestivum (bread wheat). RNAcentral describes it as "partial small subunit ribosomal RNA". The record is from RNAcentral. Lineage: Eukaryota; Viridiplantae; Streptophyta; Magnoliopsida; Poales; Poaceae.